GCCAAUAAGGGUAGCCUAGUGGACAUGGCAUCUGCCCAGUAAGCGGAACGCUGUGGGUUCGGUUUCCUAUCCCUGGACA
Molecule: non-coding RNA, 79 nt
Organism: Cordylochernes scorpioides
Lineage: Eukaryota; Metazoa; Arthropoda; Arachnida; Pseudoscorpiones; Chernetidae
Source: the annotation of a GenBank genome assembly